GCUUGUCUCAAAGAUUAAGCCAUGCAUGUCUAAGUAUAAACAAAUUUAUAGUGAAACUGCGAAUGGCUCAUUAUAUCAGUUAUAGUUUAUUUGGCGAUAAAAACUACUUGGAUAACCGUAGUAAUUCUAGAGCUAAUACAUGCGCCCAGACCCAACUUUUAGGAAGGGUUGUAUUUAUUAGGUACAGAACCAAUGCAAGCUCCGCUUGACCUUUUGGUGAUUCAUGGUAACCGAACGAAUCGCACGGCACCAGCUGGCGAUGGACCAUUUCAGUUUCUGACCUAUCAGCUUCCGACGGUAGGAUAUGGGCCUACCGUGGCAAUGACGGGUAACGGAGAAUUAGGGUUCGAUUCCGGAGAGGGAGCCUGAGAAACGGCUACCACAUCUAAGGAAGGCAGCAGG
This 402-nucleotide ribosomal RNA is filed under the name uncultured Gymnodinium. RNAcentral describes it as "partial small subunit ribosomal RNA". It matches the Rfam family "Eukaryotic small subunit ribosomal RNA", at positions 30 to 432 of the family's 1831-position model. Lineage: Eukaryota; Dinophyceae; Gymnodiniales. The record is from RNAcentral.